Molecule: ribosomal RNA, 274 nt
Filed under: uncultured bacterium
Lineage: Bacteria
Description: partial 16S ribosomal RNA
Rfam family: Bacterial small subunit ribosomal RNA
Source: RNAcentral
AUACGGAGGGUGCAAGCGUUAAUCGGAAUUACUGGGCGUAAAGCGCUCGUAGGCGGUUUGUUAAGUCGGAUGUGAAAGCCCUGGGCUUAACCUGGGAAUGGCAUUCGAUACUGCAGAGCUAGAGUAUGGUAGAGGGAAGUGGAAUUUCCGGUGUAGCGGUGAAAUGCGUAGAUAUCGGAAGGAACAUCAGUGGCGAAGGCGGCAUGCUGGGCUAAAACUGACGCUGAGGUACGAAAGCGUGGGGAGCAAACAGGAUUAGAAACCCCAGUAGUCC